This 290-nucleotide unclassified non-coding RNA is filed under the name uncultured Lophiostoma. Its description in RNAcentral is "sequence contains ITS1". The stretch from base 1 to 105 matches the Rfam family "5.8S ribosomal RNA", at positions 50 to 154 of the family's 154-position model. Lineage: Eukaryota; Fungi; Ascomycota; Dothideomycetes; Pleosporales; Lophiostomataceae. The record is from RNAcentral.
AAAAUGCGAUAAGUAGUGUGAAUUGCAGAAUUCAGUGAAUCAUCGAAUCUUUGAACGCACAUUGCGCCCUUUGGUAUUCCUUAGGGCAUGCCUGUUCGAGCGUCAUUUUCACCUUCAAGCACAGCUUGGUGUUGGGCGUCUGUCCUCACGGACUCGCCUCAAAAGAAUUGGCAGCCACUUCAGCGGCUUUGAGCGCAGCAGAAUUGCGUCCUCUAGCAGCGGAAGGUGGCAUCCAUAAGCUUACUUUUCAUUUUGACCUCGGAUCAGGUAGGGAUACCCGCUGAACUUAA